GCGAUCGUACCAGCACUAAUGCACCGGAUCCCAUCAGAACUCCGAAGUUAAGCGUGCUUGGGCGAGAGCAGUACUAGGAUGGGUGACCCCCUGGGAAGUCCUCGUGUUGCACCU
Molecule: ribosomal RNA, 114 nt
Filed under: Zingiber officinale
Lineage: Eukaryota; Viridiplantae; Streptophyta; Magnoliopsida; Zingiberales; Zingiberaceae
Source: RNAcentral